Molecule: transfer RNA, 73 nt
Filed under: Aspergillus ruber CBS 135680
Lineage: Eukaryota; Fungi; Ascomycota; Eurotiomycetes; Eurotiales; Aspergillaceae
Description: tRNA-Val (CAC) (tRNA-Val-CAC-2-1)
Rfam family: tRNA
About the family: Transfer RNA (tRNA) molecules are approximately 80 nucleotides in length. Their secondary structure includes four short double-helical elements and three loops (D, anti-codon, and T loops).
Source: RNAcentral
AGUCACGUGGUCUAAUGGUUAUGAUAUCUCGUUCACACCGAGAUGGUUCCCGGUUCGAUCCCGGGCGUGACUA